Triticum urartu is the source of this 902-nucleotide non-coding RNA. The record is from RefSeq and is a predicted model, not a curated record. NCBI's taxonomy places the organism in Eukaryota, Viridiplantae, Streptophyta, Magnoliopsida, Poales, Poaceae.
UAUUUCCUGUCAACUUGCAGCCUGAUCGAGUGGCAGAAUUCUGUAAACGAAACAAAUUGCAAUUGAUCAUAAGAGCUCAUGAGUGUGUUAUGGAUGGAUUUGAGCGUUUCGCCCAUGGGCAGUUGAUCACUUUAUUUUCAGCCACUAAUUAUUGUGGCACUGCAAAUAAUGCUGGCGCCAUACUUGUGGUGGGAAGGGGACUAGUUAUUGUCCCGAAGUUAAUUCAUCCACUUCCACCACCUGUUAAUUCUCCUGAGUCAUCCCCUGAACGUGCCAUGGAUGCCACAUGGAUGCAGGAACUUAACAUACAGCGGCCACCUACACCAACUAGAGGACGGCCGCAUUCUGCUGGUGACAGGAACUCUCUUGCUUACAUAUGAUACAUAGCCGACCCCCUCCAUCUUGACCCUGUAUGUUUCUCGUCAGAAAUUUCUUCGCCAGUUGCAAGGUACAUACAUUAUACCUCGGGACAGCCAGCCAACAGAGCAUCAUGGACUCCCAAUUUUUCGAGACAUUGCCCGGUAGUUAAGUUGAUAGUGACUCAUCAGUGUUCAGUGCAGUCAGCCCCUCAUUGGGGAGCUACAUACAUAACAGUUCUGAAGGGAAGAAUGGAAUGUUGUCAGAUAAUUGUUGGAAAGUGGGAGUCUGUGUGUAUCAUUGUCGCGGUUUACCUGUAACUGUAGUGUUGUACAUGUUUAGAUCAUUGUUCAUCCAGAGCAAGAAGGCUUGUAAUGUGUUCCGUAUACCGUGUUCGUUACCAUUUAGGACGCUGCUUGCACAGCGCAGCUAUACAAGUUUUACUGAGUUAGAUUGGCUGGAGGAAAACUACCUCCUCGUGAUGUUGUAACUGAAGUGUUGUUGAUUAAAUUUGUUAUAGGAAUGUUUACAAUAAGUUUAGUUUA